RNAcentral lists this ribosomal RNA (253 nucleotides) under uncultured bacterium. RNAcentral describes it as "partial 16S ribosomal RNA". It matches the Rfam family "Bacterial small subunit ribosomal RNA", at positions 524 to 776 of the family's 1533-position model. The record is from RNAcentral.
UACGUAGGGGUCUAGCGUUGUCCGGAAUCAUUGGGCUUAAAGAGCGUGUAGGCGGUCCGGUAAGUCCGCUGUGAAAGUCGGGGGCUCAACCCUCGAAUGCCGGUGGAUACUGUCGGGCUAGAGUGCGGAAGAGGCGAGUGGAAUUCCUGGUGUAGCGGUGAAAUGCGCAGAUAUCAGGAGGAACACCUAUUGCGAAGGCAGCUCGCUGGGACGUAACUGACGCUGAGACGCGAAAGCGUGGGGAGCAAACAGG